GUCAGACAGGGCCUUGGAAAAAGGGGAAGAGGGAGAGGAUUUCUGGAUUUGUAUGCAUCAGAUGAAGAGGCGAGUUCCUUAACGAGCCCAUCUAUGAUGAUGGUUCUAAAAAUGCAACAACAAAGUCUACUCCCGUUCAUUCAAGGAAGAAGGCCAGUGUAAAAUGUUCACCUCCUCAGAAGAGUUUACAGGAGGCAUGCAGCCCAAAAGUGAGGCCAACCCUGAAGCGUUCAUUGUCUGCUCCUGACAGUCCCGCCAGCGGAGGGGUCAACUUUGGGGUCACACGGGUUGUGUCUGGGCUCAAUAAAGGGGCCACAGAGGUCUAUAGUCACCAGUUUCAGCAACUCGGACAAGCUAGGGCCGUCUCUGUGCCCCCAAUAAAUAGCUGUAUUGCCAGUACAGGUCGUGAGAAGCUGAGUCGUUGGAUGCCCCGUGGCUGGUGUUUCCGCAGGUUCAACAAUAUGAAGUGUUUUUCUCUGCCAUGUAGCUUCAACCACGAGGAACCACCCACUG
Long non-coding RNA from Mya arenaria, 513 nucleotides. RefSeq lists it as uncharacterized. The record is from RefSeq and is a predicted model, not a curated record. NCBI's taxonomy places the organism in Eukaryota, Metazoa, Mollusca, Bivalvia, Myida, Myidae. The transcript is spliced from 4 exons.